AGUGCUUUAGCCGUACAAUCAAGGAAGAGGGUUUUGGUUCAUUGUGGAGAGGGAACACUGCCAAUGUUAUCCGUUACUUCCCCACUCAGGUGUGUGAUGCUUAUUUUAACUAAAUGUUCCAUUGGCAAAGAAAAGUUUUGAUGCGUACUUGUACUAAAAUUGUUACCUGGAUUUGUUGUAGGCCUUGAACUUUGCAUUCAAGGAUUACUUCAAGAGGCUGUUCAACUUCAAGAAAGACAGGGAUGGUUAUUGGAAAUGGUUUGCUGGUAACUUGGCUUCAGGAAGUGCUGCUGGUGCUUAUUCUCUUCUCUUUGUCUACUCUUUGGAUUAUGCUCGUACUCGUUUGACUAAUGAUGCUAAAGCUGCAAAGAAGGGAGGAGAAAGACAAUUCAAUGGUCUGGUUGAUGUCUACAGGAAGACAUUGAAAUCUGAUGGAAUUGCCGGUCUUUACCGUGGAUUCAACAUCUCUUGUGUUGGAAUUAUUGUCUACCGUGGUCUUUACUUUGGACUGUACGAUUCCCUAAAGCCUGUUGUCCUGACUGGAGGCUUGCAGGUUAGUAAAUUACUUUUAUUAAUUCACUUACCUUUUUGUUCAUGGUUAUAUAUUCUUAUGAUGGUGUUGGCUUUGUUUACGUUAGUUGCUAGCUCAAUUUUGGUUUUUUAUUACUUUCUGUGUAAUUGUUGAAUAUCUUGUUUGUGUGCAUAUUGUUAUGGCAUAAUAUUUCUUAUAUUAGUCAUUCCUUUCCCUUUGAGAAAGGACUAUUAAUUUUGCAAAAGGUCUAAUGAUGCGUCCGCUCUUUUGUUCAUUAUUUUUGGCUUUGCUCUAUUCUAAUGCUUUCUUUGCGAAGCAUUACAAAGAAUUGUAUGAAGUGUCUAUUUAUGUUGGGUUUUAAAGAAUGCUAUGCCACAAUGUUGGAAUCUGUUGCCCACAAUCAUUAUCUGCUUUCAGUUGUGUGACAUGUUGCUUUAUUGUUUUGAAAACUACAGGAUAGUUUCUUCGCUAGCUUUGCCCUCGGUUGGGUCAUCACCAAUGGUGCUGGUCUUGCAUCCUACCCAAUUGACACUGUCCGCAGAAGAAUGAUGAUGACCUCCGGUGAAGCCGUCAAGUACAAGAGUUCCCUGGAUGCCUUCCAACAAAUCUUGAAGAACGAGGGUGCCAAGUCUCUCUUCAAGGGUGCUGGUGCUAACAUCCUCCGUGCCAUUGCUGGUGCUGGUGUGCUGUCUGGUUAUGACAAGCUACAGCUGCUUGUGUUCGGCAAGAAGUACGGAUCUGGUUCCGGUUAAGAAUAGUUUUCCUCCGAAGCCAUAUUAGCUUUUAGAUGGUGAUGAAAAUCUUUUUUGAGCUUUUGAAGAACUUGUUUCGGCAAAAUUUUCUUGAAAUAAUUAAUUCAGUUAUAGGGGAGCAGGGCCGGCCCAGGCCCAGUGCAGAAGGGGCGACCGUCAGGGCCCAAAAAAAUUAGGGGCACCAAAAUUAUUAGGGCGAUAUAUUUAUAUAUGUUUUUAUAAGAGUAUAAAUUUAUAAAAUUUGAUUCAAAGACACAGAAAUUUAACUAGAAGUGGUGGUUUGUCAUUUGAAAAUAAUAAGGAGGUCUGGUGUUCAAAACACCAUGUGUGCUUAUUUACUUUCCUUUUUUUCACAAAUUUCGUUUUAUAAGAGUAUAAAUUUAGAAAAUUUGGUUAAAGGAUAAAGAAGUUUAAUUAGAAACAAUGAUUUUUGUUGUUUAAAAUUAACAAGAGGUCCUAAGUUCGAAAUGCUAUAUGCAUGUUUAUUCUUUUCAAUUUUUACAAAUUUUUGUUUGGUUGGUAAUUUAUUUUUAGUUACUAUCUAGUAGCUAUGUGGGUUGUUAUUUUUAAAUAUUCGUUUUAAUUCAAGUCUAAUAUUCAACAAAGAAUAAUACGUAGACCAAAUUUGUAAAUUAUAUGACGUGUCAUCAAAAUGUUUAAUUUAGUAAAACUCGAAAACAUCAUUAUUUUUUAGUCUCAUAUUGACAAGGUUAGUAAAUAAGAAAAAAACACCUCACGAUUUAUUCAAAAACACAUUCAAAGUUCAAAUGGAAAACAAAACUCAUCAUCUAUCUUCUUGUAAGCCUGAAGUUUUUUUGUUUCCCUCUCUCAAUACAAAAUAAAUUAGUUUUUCUGUGUUUCUAAAUUAUUGAGUUUGAAGUGUUUUUCUAAGUAUAAUUUUUUCGAUGUCUUAUGUGUGAAAAUAAAUAAUUUUCUUACAUGAAGUUAGGGUACUUUUUUUUACGUCGUCUCGGGCCUCAAAAAUCUCUAGACCGGCCCUGUAUGGGAGUUAAUCCCAAACCGAAUUUUACUGUGGGAUUGAGUUUUGUUUCCCAUAAACCAGAUUAUUGAGUGGUGAAAAAUUCCAUUCAUCUUGAAGUUUCAUUUAUGUGAUUUGCUGGUUAUUUAUGAAUGUUUCUGUUUAAAAUUUUGCAAUGAUGUCGCAUUAUUGUGCUUAAAUGUUUGUCUUUGAAAUUUUGCGUACUGUCGAAGGGAAGUGAUUUUCAUGCAGCGUAAUUUUCCUUUUCAUGCGACGGAAUGAAACAGAAGUAUGAAACUCUUAAUUCGAGUGUGAACUUUUUAUGGAUGCAAUUUUUGGAGCUUAAAUACCGUUUGCGCCUCCUACUAUCGGGCUGAUGGAGGAAGAGAUUAGUUUUUUCAUCAAUGUGGGAUGCGGUACUCGGAUACCACUACUAGAAAAGAUAACGUAUUCAUGAUCUUUGUGAGCCUCGAGUGGUUUAAUUUUCCACUAUAACUUUUUACUGAAGAAUAAAAUGACCAUUGAUUCGUCUGUCUCUGUUUGAGAAAAAAUUAUGAAAAUAGAGGAAUCAAACCUUGAUCCAUAAUGCCUUUUGAAAAUCUAGCAUUCUUUGUCUCUGUUUCGUUGACUGCACGUUUAACCAUCCAUUGCUCUACUGUCGUGUCCAAACAUAGUAAAACUGUUGUGCUAAAAACUAAAAUACUAGUCAAAGAUGAAGCCGAAACUUAGUCUACCUAACAUUACUCUCAUCCUAUUCAUCAUACCCAACUGAAAUGGAAAAGCAUUGAUUCAUUCACGUGUCUUCGUACCCAAGGGUUUUAGAUUCCCUCCUUCCUCGUAAAAGCCCAUGUAAAAGGUAUUUCGUCCUCAAGGAUAUGCUUAGAUCUAUAAACGGAUCCGAUCAAUUUUGAUCUAUAUUCGGGUCCAUUAAUUUGGGAUUAUCAAGUUUGGUUUGUAUUUGUAUUAUCGGAUUUGACGUAUAAAUCCAUAUGCAAUAAACAUCAAUUUCAAAAUGAUUUGGAUUCCCGCCGGAUCUAAUUUAUGAUCUAGAAAAGCUUACAAUAUUAUUACUAACAUCAUUCUUUUAAUAUAUUUAUCUAUGUUAAAUAGAACUUUUCAUGUUGUAUAAACAUAAACUUGUGAAUAAGUGUAUUUUGAAUGCAUAAAAAAGUCUUCAACUUCUAUUACACACUAGUAUACUAUUUGUAAAAUAAUGAAUAAAUCAAAUAAUAGGUUAAUAUUAAGUUGAAUUGGAUCAAAAUUCAUAUUUGGAUUCAUUUAUAAUCAGAUUUCUUUCUUAUCCUAUCUAGAUAAGUUAUAUUGGAAAUUUCGAUCAUUGACGUGUCUAAAUGUGCGUACUAAACAUGAGAAUACAAUAUCAUACACCUCCUUAAACCUCUAGUUACACAAAUCAAAGAGCCCAUAAUUAAAUGUUUGGACAGGCAUUUAGGCGAAUUUAGGUAGAAAUAUGUAACAAAAUACUAGACCGAGAGAUUAAAAAUUCAAUACACCACAUGAAUAUCAAAAACCGCUAAACAAAGCAUUUUCAAAAUACGCAUUCAAGUAUUCGUAUGCAAAUUCCUUUGUGCAUUGCGUCUAGUCAUUUCAAAUACAUUUAUCAAAUGUUUUUGUUGUGCAUCUCUUACUAGUGUAGUCUAAUCGCUCAGUAGUUUAAGCCUCAACCAUUAUAAUUAUAAAUAGCGGAUCUACGACAUCAUUUUUUUACACAAUUUUGACACACAUUUUUAUGGUCGACUUUGUAAUAUAUUUUAACAAUCUGAAUCAUUCAUCAUUCAUAGAUCAUCCUUGCAAAAAAGUAAACAAAUUUAAACCAUUAAGACAUUUAUUUUGUAGUGAAAAAAAUGGAAGAAUACGAUUCUACAAAGAAACCCUAAACCCUUAAUCUAACAUUCAUAUGGUUUCAAAUUUGGAUGAUUAUUGGUAGAUAUAUUUUUUGAGGGAAAACCUAAAAAUUAAACAGUUCAGAUCGUUGAAAUACAUUAGAAGUUGCUCCAAAAAUUAUGUGUCAAAAGUUGUGCAAAAAAGUAGUGUCACGAAUCCGGCCAUGAUUAUAUUAUAAUCAUGGUUAAGACUUAAUUAAAAACAAAAUUAACAUUAGCUUUAAUGAAGUUGACUCAACACAUCACUUUGGAAUAACUAAUCUCAUCCUUUUACGUUUAAUUUUGACCAGCUUGUUGGAAGCCCCAUGAAUUCCUUGCUUCUAGUACGAGGCCCUAUGUGCCAGCAUGGUCCCAGAUAACUCGAUUCACCACAACUAGCAUUUGAUAUUUGUUGUGAAUAAUACGUGGAUGAACCAUAUGAAUAGUCUGUUACUAUUUAUGCACAGUAUUUUCACUAUUUAUUUGUGGAAAUUUUGUAAAGUGAAUAGUAUUACUACAAUAACUUUUUCCUAUCAAAUGAAAGCAUGUGAAGAAGAGAGAAAGGGUGAGAGACUCACAGAAGAGGAAGAAGAGAUGAGAUAAUAGAGAGAAUUAUCUUUGUACUCUUAUUAUUUCAGAUUAUAAUGAAAGCAUCACUGCUGCCCUGAUGAUGUACUCCAGUUAGAGGAACCUCAUAAAUUUUGUGUGUUGUUUAGCCCACGUUUACUCAGUCGUCACGGCGCCGUCUAUUUUAGACAGUUCCUAACCUUCUCACGUGAAAUAUCAUCCGUCAGAUCGAACAGUUAACGGCUGCGAUUUGAGCCAUUCACAGUUAUUCGCUUCUGAUGGGUCAGCCGUCAGCCAAUAAAAAGGCCCCGUUUCUCUACAAAGAGGCGUCUCCUCCACACAUCUCUCGCUCUCGCUCUCAGUCUCUCUUUUGUCUUUCGCGCAUUUCAGCGUAGAGCUCAAAGCGGAGACGCCUCGCAGCCACCACCACCGAAGGUAUAACCGAAAUUCUCUCUUUUGCUAUGUUUAGAUCUGAAUUUUGUCUAUAUCUCUCUCAGAUUUUUUGAGGUUUUUUUCAUUUACUUUCAAUUUUUUUUCUUUUUCCCAGAUCUGUAUUUCUUUCUGUAAUUUUGAUUUGCAAAGGUGAUUUUUUUAAUCGAUUAAUUGUUUUUGUGGAUCUGAUUAUUUGCGGCUUGUUGCAGUGAGAUCUAAUCUGCUCGAUUUGUAUGUUUUUACUGUUUCAAAUCUGUUCGUCGAUGUCGGGUCUGAUUUUGUAGUGCAUUUAUAUGGUGGAAGUGUAUUGAUUUGCUUAUUUGUGGACUGUAGAUCCAGAUCCGUCAGAUCUGGACGGUUGUGAUUGGUUUUUGAAGUUUGUGAUUAUUUUCUGCUGUUAAUUGGAAGUUUUUGAGAUUUUAAAGUGAAUAUUCUUGAAAAAUCUAUAAAUGGGUAAUUCUGAUAUUUUUUUUUAUGUUUAUUUGCGAUGUCGAAUAGUCAAUUGUCAAUUUUUGGUAACAAAGAAAUGAUUCUUUUUGUAGUCUUAAAAAUUGUCAACUGUUUAGGCGCACCUAUGUUAAUUGAAUGUUAUUUCGGAUGAUAUGGUUUUUAAUUUCUCCGCUGUUAUGUUGGUUUGGUUUAAUGCGUACUGUGAUUUUAUUUUUUUCAUCGUAGGCAAAUGAGUUGGAUAUUGCGGUUUUAAUUCUCAAGCAGAGAGGAAUAACCAUUUAGUUUAUGGCAUAGGGAUUGAAUGCUUUAUUGCUUAGGUGCGGCUUUUAGUGAGUAAUACACAGAAUACCAUUUGAUAUGUUGACAUUUCAUGUUUAGUACCACUUUUCAUGAAAAUCCCUCUUUUUUCAUGUUUAAUACCAUUUGAGUAAUACACAGAAUACCAUUAUAUAUAUAUAUAUAUAUAUAUAUAUAUAUAUAUAUAUAUAUAUAUAUAUAUAUAUAUAUAUAUAUAUAUAUAAAAGAAGUCUUUUGACUCCUCGAUUGGAUGAUGUUGUGAUUCUAUUUGAAGUAUUGAUGGUUGUUUGGAUAUUCUUUUGUUCCUUGUUAGUACCAUGAUGUUGACUGCAUCUAUGAAAAUAUAGUGCAAAGAUCAUUGGACAUUUUACAGAAUAGAUGAUCUAAUAAGUAUGUAUGUAGUUUUUACUAACCAUCUGCUACCUCUUGAGAUCAUUCUGUGUCAUAUAUUUCAUUGUUUUCUGAUAUUUGAUAUCAAUAGACCUGAUGCUCGAGGCUCGGCCUGCUCGUCCUCUAUUUGUAUAUGUCUAUCUGGGAGUACAAGGGAUUUUAUAACUGGUUUUAUAGUGUACUUAAUGCUUUUAGGCAUAACUGAUGUCAGUUAGUUUUGGUCAAGUAUAUCAUAAUGUUCGUGGUAGAUUCUGUUUCUGAUAUGGUAUAUGCAUACUCUUGUAGGGCAAGUGACAAUGGUUGAUCAGGUUCAACAUCCUUCUGUCGUCCAGAAGGUAGCUGGCCAGCUCCUUCAGCAAUCUAUCCAGGGUUACGAUAAUGGCUUCCAAAGACCAGGAAUGUACCAAAGACGUGCUUAUGGGAACUACACUAAUGCUGCACUGCAGUAUCCCUUCAUGCCAGCAUGCAGAGCUACCACUGAUAUGUCUUUGGUUCCAUCAACUGCAUCACCCAUCUUUGUUCAAGCCCCUGCAGAGAAAGGCCACUUUCUGAUUGAUUUUCUCAUGGGUGGAGUCUCUGCUGCUGUGUCUAAAACUGCUGCUGCCCCAAUUGAGCGUGUCAAGCUGUUGAUUCAAAACCAGGAUGAGAUGAUCAAAACUGGUCGUUUGUCUCAACCCUACAAGGGCAUUGGGGAGUGCUUUAGCCGUACAAUCAAGGAAGAGGGUUUUGGUUCAUUGUGGAGAGGGAACACUGCCAAUGUUAUCCGUUACUUCCCCACUCAGGUUUGUAAUGUUAAUUUUCUACUAAAUGUUCCGUUGGCAAAGAAAAGUUUUGAUGCGUACUUGUACUAAAAUUGUUACCUGGAUUUGUUGUAGGCCUUGAACUUUGCAUUCAAGGAUUACUUCAAGAGGCUGUUCAACUUCAAGAAAGACCGGGACGGUUAUUGGAAAUGGUUUGCUGGUAACUUGGCUUCAGGAGGUGCUGCUGGUGCUUCUUCUCUUUUCUUUGUCUACUCGUUGGAUUAUGCUCGUACUCGCUUGGCUAAUGAUUCUAAAGCUGCAAAGAAGGGAGGAGAAAGACAAUUCAAUGGUCUGGUUGAUGUCUACAGGAAGACUUUGAAAUCUGAUGGAAUUGCUGGUCUUUACCGUGGAUUCAACAUCUCUUGUGUUGGAAUUAUUGUCUACCGUGGUCUCUACUUUGGACUGUAUGAUUCACUGAAGCCUGUUGUCCUGACUGGAGGCUUGCAGGUUAGUGAAUUACUUUUAUCUAUUCACUUACCUUUUUGUUCAUAGUUAUAUAUUAUUAUGAUGGUGUUGGCUUUGUUUAUGUUAGUUGCUAGCUCAAUUUUGGUUUUUUAUUACGUUCUGUGUAAUUGUUGAAUAUCUUGUAUGUGUGCAUAUUGUUAUGGCAUAAUAUUUCUUAUAUUAGUCAUUCAUUUCCCUUUGAGAAGGGACUAUUAAUUUUGCAAAAGGUUUAAUGAUGCGUCUGCUCUUCUGUUUAUUAUUUUUGGCUUUGCUCUAUUCUAAUGCUUUCUUUGCGAAGCAUUAUGAAGAAUUGUAUGAAGUGUCUAUUUAUGUUGGUUUUUAAAGAAUGCUAUGCCACAAUGUUCAAAUCUGUUGCCCACAAUCGUUAUCUGCUUUCAGUUGUGUGACACGUUGCUUAUUUUUGUUGAAAACUACAGGAUAGUUUCUUUGCUAGCUUUGCCCUUGGUUGGGUCAUCACCAAUGGUGCUGGUCUUGCAUCCUACCCAAUUGACACUGUCCGCAGAAGAAUGAUGAUGACCUCCGGUGAAGCCGUCAAGUACAAGAGUUCCCUGGAUGCCUUCCAACAAAUCUUGAAGAACGAGGGUGCCAAGUCUCUCUUCAAGGGUGCUGGUGCUAACAUCCUCCGUGCCAUUGCUGGUGCUGGUGUGCUGUCUGGUUAUGACAAGCUACAGCUGCUUGUGUUCGGCAAGAAGUACGGAUCUGGUUCCGGUUAAGAAUAUUUUUCCUCCCAAGCCAUAUUAGCUUUUAGAUGGUGAUGAAAAUCUUUUUGAGUUUUUGAAGAACUCGUUUCGGCAAAAUUUUCUUAAAAUAAUUCAGUUAUAGGGGAGUUAAUCCCAAACCGAAUUUUACUGCGGGAUUGAGUUUUGUUUCCCAUAAACCAGAUUAUUUGAGUGGUGAAAAAUUCCAUUCAUCCUGAAGUUUCAUUUAUGUGAUUUGCUGGUUAUUUAUGUGUGUUUCUGUUUAAAAUUUUGCAAUGAUGUCGAAUUAUUGUGCUUAAAUGUUGUUUUUGAAAUUUUGCAUACUGUCGAAGGGAAGUGAUUUUCAUGCAGCGUAUUUUUCCUUUUCAUGCGACGGAAAGAAACAGAAGUAUGAAACUCUUAAUUCGAGUGCGAACUUUUAGGGUGCGAUUGGUACGCAGAUGGGACGGGACGGAACGAAUGUGUAAUUUUUGAAAAAGACAUGGGGUAUAUUUGUUUUAAAAUGGUAAAACAUUGUGUUUCACAGAAGUGGAACAAACCCGUUCCAGGGGGAGGUGGGACGCAAAAACACCCAAAAUCUGUCUCGUGGAACAGUUCGUUCCACCUAUUUUUGGUGCACCAAACGUGGGACGGAACGUCUCAUCCCGUCCCGUCCCGUCCCACGUACCAAACGCAUCCUUACGGAUGCAAUUUUUUGAGCAACUGCCUACUGUUUGACUUGAGAGCUUAAAUACUGUUUGUGCCUUCUACUAUCGGGCUGAUGGAGAAAGAGAUUAGUUUUUUCAUCAAUGUGUGAUGAGAUACUUAGAUACCACUAUUAGGGAAAAUAACGUAUUGUGAGCCUCGAGUGGUUUAAUUUUCCACCAUAACUUUUUACUGAAGAAUAAAAUUACCACUGAUUCGUCCGUCUCUGUUGGAGAAACGAUUAUGAAAAUAGAGGAAUCAAACCCUGAUCCAUAAUGCCUUUUGAAAAUCUAGCCUUCUUUGUCUCAGUUUCGUUGACUGCACGUUUAACCAUUCAUUGCUCUGCUGUCAUGUCCAAGCAUAGUAAAACUGUUGUGCUAAAAACUAAAAUACUAGCCAAAGACGAACCCGAAACUUAGUGUUCCUAGCAUUAUUUCCAUUCUAUUCAUACCCAACUGAAAUGGAAAAUCAUUGAUUCAUUCACGUGUCUUCGUACCCAAGGGUUUUAGCUUCCCUCCUUCCUCGUAAAAGCCCAUGUAAAAGGUAUUUCGUCCUCAAGGAUAUGCUUAGAUCUAUAAACGGAUCCGAUCAAUUUUGAUCUAUAUUCGGGUCCAUUAAUAUGGGAUUAUCAAGUUUGGUUUGUAUUUGUAUUAUCGGAUUUGACGUAUAAAUCCAUAUGCAAUAAACAUCGAUUUCAAAAUGAUUUGGAUUCUCGCUGGAUCUAAUUUAUGAUCUAGAAAAGCUUAUAAUAUUAUUACUAACAUCAUUCUUUUAAUAUAUUUAUGUAUGUUAAGUUGAAUAAGUGUAUAAACAUAAACUAAACUAGUGAAUAAGUGUAUUUUGAAUGCAUACAAAAGUCUUCAACUUCUAUUACACACUAGUAUACUAUUUGUAAAAUAAUGAAUAAAUCAAAUAAUAGGUUAAUAUUAAGUUGAAUUGGAUCAAAAUUCAUAUUCGGAUUCAUUUAUAAUCAGAUUUCCUAUCUUAUUCAGAUAAGUUAUAUUGGAAAUCUCGAUCAUUGACGUGUCUAAAUGUGCUUACUAAACAUGAGAAUACAAUAUCAUACACCUCCUUAAACCUCUAAUUACACGAACCAAAGAGCCCUUAAUUAAAUGUUUGGACAUGCAUUUAGGCGAAUUUAGGUAGAAAUAUGUGACAAAAUAUUAGACCGAGAGAUUAAAAAUUGAAUACACCACAUGAAUAUCAAAAACCGCUAAACAAAGCAUUUUCAAAAUAAUCAUUCAAGUAUUCGUAUGCAAAUUCCUUUGUGCAUUGCGUCUAGUCAUUUCAAAUACAUUUAUCAAAUGUUUUUGUUGUGCAUCUCUUACUAAUGCAGUCUAAUCGCUCAGUAGUUUAAGCCUCAACCAUUAUAAUUAUAAAUAGCGGAUCUACGACAUCAUUUUUUUACACAAUUUUGACACACAUUUUUUUACACAAUUCGAACCGUUUAUCUUUUAUAACAUCAUUCAUAGAUCAUCCUUGCAAAAAAAGUAAACAAAUUUAAACCAUUAGGACAUUUAUUUUGUAGUGAAGAAUACGGAAGAAUACGGUUCUAUAAAGAAACCAUAAUCGCUUAAUCUAACAUUCAUAUGGUUUCAAAUUUGGAUGAUUAUUGGUAGAUAUAAACCUAAAAAUUAAACAGUUCGGAUCGUUGAAAUACAUUAGAAGUUGCUCCAAAAAUUAUGUGUCAAAAGUUGUGUAAAAAAGUGGUGUCACGGAUCCGGCCAUGAUUAUAUUAUAAUCAUGGUUAAGACUUAAUUAAAAACAAAAUUAACAUUAGCUUUAAUGAAGUUGACUCAACACAUCACUUUGGAAUAACUAAUCUCAUCCUUUUACGUUUAAUUUUGACCAGCUUUUUUGUUGGAAGCCCCAUGAAUUCCUUGCUAGUACAAGGCCCUAUGUGCCAGCAUGGUCCCAGAUAACUCAAUUCACCACAACUAGCAUUUGAUCUUGUUUAUAUAUCCAUAUUCAAUGAGCUUUAUGACAUAGAAAUUGAUGAUUGGAUUAUUACUUAAUCGUUGAUAAACAUGCUCAUUUUCUAUUGGUGACACCUCAUUUAGUUUGCUAAUUUAGUCUCCAAAUUUAAUCUCUCUAGCAUUACUCUAUUGGAUCAAAACGUCAUGUUAUCGUAAAUCCAUUUAAUGUCUUUCUCUUGAUUUACGGGUACUGCACCCUGAGCCAUGUGAUGAGAUUAGUACAGGCUAAUCAGUUGUCUCAACUUUUUAUAAGGAUUGAUUAUCCUACAAAAUGCAAAUAAAAAUGGUACAUAUUUCCUGUAAACUCAUUCAUUGUAAGUAAUCAUACCAUAAGUACUAGGUAUUAGGAUUGAAUAACUAUAUAUAAUGCGAUGAUACUACUUGUUCUACCCACCAAACGAGACAACUUCCUUAAGCGGAACCUUAUUUAAAAACCUUCCUUAUAGUAAGUCCACCCAUUAAGACAAUAAUUGCUUUAGUGAAUAGUAAUUGUCCGAAUGCAUCUCCAUCCUAUAAAUGAAUUGCUUGGACAAUUGACAUUAAAAAAAAUUAAAUUAAUAUUAUAUUUAACUUUUUACCAAUUUCAUCACUCCACAUAUCAUUAUCUGAAAUUAUAAUCCCGUCCUAGUCACUCCACUGUUCAUAUUCUCCUAAUUUCAUUUAUUUAAAAAUUUCAGUAUUUUUUUUUUUAAUUUUACUAAUAGAAUUAAUAUGGACCUUAGGAUGACAUUUUUUUUUGUAAUCCAAGAGUCCAAGUUGUGCCAUGUGGUCAUCUGUUUUAGAUAUUUUCUUCUUUAUUUUUUUUAUUUAAAAAAAAAAUCCAUAUUUAUAUGGACCGUUGGAUUUGGAAAAUCCAACAACCUAGGAUCGCAAACGGUCUUAGUGCCUGCAGUGUGGGCCCCACCACCUGCAUUUUGUCGAACCACUCACCUCACACGUGCAUGAAGUACACGUGCUUGGUGCAAAAAACUUAUAACGUAAGUGAUGACAGGAUGUGACACACCCCGACCUGGGAAGGUUGAAGCAUGCUGGCCAUUACCGUGAGGUGACGUAACCAUAAGGGUAAGUGAUGUGAAAAAGUAAAAAAAUUAAACCUAGAAGUGCCUAAAACAAAAGAGUGUGCGGGUGAGCGGGAUUGAACUCUUUUCACACGUGAUGUUAGAGCAUAAGACAAUAAGAUGAAUAGGAUGAGGGUUAUACCACUAAAGGUAACCAUCUCCUGAGAUUUUCCAGAAUCCUCGUAUAUACGUAAGCACAACUACUAAACCUGGAGGGGCGAAAAACAAAGUUGAGUGGGUCAGCAAAACAACGUUUUGUAAAAACCUUUAUUUUCGAAUAUACUAACCUCUCACCGUAAAACAAAUAUAGUUUCCUUAAAACAUACUAUGUAAGUAUGUAAACAAUAAUACAACAACAUUAUAACCAGAAGUAUACCAAGUCAUGAUAUAUAAUCCCACAAUAAUAAAAUCAUGUGAUAAUCAAGUAUAGCUAAGUGCUCAUCCAUCUAGACUGACACAUGAGUUCGAACAUAUAAUUUCCGACACGAACAUGAUUGGGUGUAAUCAAUAUGCUCUAGUACUACAAUCACGUGAAGGCUGGUGCUGAAGCACGGUCACAUACAAGUCGGAUUGCCUAAUGCAAUCUACCCAACAGGACUGGCACCUAACUUGGAUCCAAGACGAGUGAACGGUGCGAUGUGAACAUACACGUGAAGGACUGGCCCUGGCCCUGGGGUGAGUACUAACACCAGGGUGCAGCAAGAUGAGCAUGUGCAAAUAUGUAUAAAUGCCUUGACAGUAAUAUCCCAACCAUACAGCAACAUUUAUCACAAUUAAUAUCACAAUAACGAUACUUGGCAAUAUAAGUGUAAAAGUAAAAUAAUUACACAUUUAGGGAAACUAUCAAUAUGUAUAGGUAUAAAAUAAACUGCCCACUCACAGAUACGCAGUCGAAACGAAGUCUCCGAGCCCUGCUUGACUCCGUACGUCCUUGGGAUAUGUUUCCCUUAUAUGUGAAAUUACUAAUUAACUUAGUUUAAUAACACAUAAACGGAAACUUAAAUAAAACCUUCGUAGAUUGCUAAACAUAGGGUUUGAAUAUACGAAAUCGAUCUACUCGAUGUCACGGACCUACACAAAUUGACAGAAGGUCAAUCAGAGUUUGGACGCGCCGCCACGUGCCGCCACAAGGGGCUGCACAUCCGACCACGUGAUGCACGCGCCGAUGGCAUGUGGGUGGUCACGCGCGUUCAUGCUCCUGUGAGUACGCAUGUACUCCCCUUCUCCACGAUUUUCUGCAGUUUUUGCAAAUUUUUGGGCCAACUUCUUGAGCCCCUAACGAGCUCGAUUCUCAACCAAAAACACUUAUAUAAAAGCCAAAUUAAAGUUAGGAAUGUGAUGACUCGAUCCAUCUUCACAAAAAGUUCAAGUGUGGUCCGUGCUGUUCAGGAAUUUGGCCUGAAAGUAGCAAAAUGGCUAUGGUCGACUUUUCCCAGUAAUCUGGGAAUUUCUUCCCAACUUCCAGAGUUGAUUUCUAACUCGAUACUUAACCAAACUUGAUGAUUCGAAAGCUAUUUUGAAGUUAGGAAUAUAGAGAACAAGUCUAUACCUAAUAGGAAUCCAGUCGAGGUCGAGGUUGGCCGAAAAAAUGAUAUGAAAGUGACCAAAUGGUCACGGUUCCAGCCUCCAAAAUUUCAGGUUUUCUUCCUCCGAGUGAUUUCAAUGUUGACCUCUCACUAAGAUAUAUGAAAAUGAGUAACACAUCCACAAUUUCGAUGAGAGGAAUUCAAAACUAGUGUCUAGAAACCUUACCUUGGUCAAACUCGACAAGAACUCAUCGAAAAAGAUGAUGAACAAUGGUAGUGGCCAUUGUGCAGUGCAAGCCCCACUCCUGGGUUAAUGCUCACGUCUAAGCUUACAAAAUAGAAAAGGACAAGGCACAGUGGUGGUCCGACAGCCCAACUCGCCGGAGAAGUCGAGUGAAGACGAUUGGGGUUGGUGCAUGGCCUUUAGGCCUCUCUGCUUGUGCAGAGAAAAGAAAGAGGGUUUGAGAGAGAGUGAAGUUUGAGUGCUCUGAGUGGAGGACAAAUUUUUGGAUAAAAAUUCUGAUUGGUUGGGUAAAAGUGAUGGUGAUGACUUUUGAUUGGUUCCCCACAUUGAGGGAAAAUAUGUGAGUGGAGGAGAGGAGAAGAAGGAAAAAGCAAAAGUUUGAUGGUUGAUGGGUGUGAAAGAAGGGGAUCGGAUCCCUUUUAAGGAUUAGAUGGAUUUGUACAAUUUUAAUUAUACAAAAUCUAUCCUCUUGACAGUGUUUCGACACUAUGAAUUUGCACGUGCGUGUACAAAAAUACCCGUAGUUAACGUACUUUAACAAAGCGUAACUUUCUCAUUACAGAUCCGAUUCAAGUCUAACACGCGUUCAUGCAUUCGUAGCGACGAGUACUAAUUAAGUACGAAACCAGGAAAAAGAAACUGGAAGCCGAAACCACGUCCACGUCAUAUUCCACUUUUGUCCAAAAAGGGUAAAAUCGUCAACUCACACCAACAGAAAAGAAAUCACAGUGAAAAGUAGGGACGGGUCGUCACAGGAUGACGUCGUCCUGAUGUCACAUGACCUCAAGCGCAGAGUCACGCUAUUCAUGGCCUACUCCUCAAUUCGGUGGUCUUAAGCCCACCUGUGGCCUUGAUUGAUUAGGUUGGGGUGGAUAAGAUAAUUGGGGUUUUAGGGGAUUCAAUUGCUCAACUGUCAAAAUAAUUAGGUAGGGGUGGACUUGCUCUUAUAGUUCUUCUAUUGUGGAGGACUUGCUCUUAUAGUUCUUCUAUUGUAGUUUUGCACAAGAUUCUUUCAUUGGUUGAAGUAUUGACUUAUCCAAGUUAAAAUAUUUUGCUCCAUUUUUAUAUAUGUGCUAGAACAACAACCCUUUCUUUCAUUGGUUGAAGUAUUGACUUAUUCAAGUUAAAAUAUUUUGAUCCAUUUUUAUAUAUGUGCUAGAACAACAACCCUUACCAAUGCCACUUAAUUCUAGUAAUUGAUAGAGAUCCGACCGUCGGAUCGCGAUGGGAAUUUAGUAUGUUAUUCUAGAAGCCUAAUGUGGACUUGGGAAGUUAUGGAUCAGAAAUCCAAUGUGUGGAUCUUCAUGAUCAAAUUACGUAGAGUUGUGGACCCUAUUGUUGACCGAGAGUUGAUUUGUGGUCAACACGUCUCGAAACGUUUUAAAUAACAAAAUUAGUACUUCAGAACUAAUUGAAGUCUAGUGGGCCUAUAUUGGUGAGACAGUGACUUGAAUGCAGGAGAUAUGAUUAUUAUCUUAAUUUCUUAUAUUAGUAUCAUUUGCAAUAUGAACUGGUCUUAUAAAUAUGAUUUCUAUUGAAAUGUGAACUUUAUAUAUUUAGCCAUAGACCUAUACUAAUUAAAUAUGUUUUGGCUUGUGUAUUGAUGAUGUUUGUGGUAUCUAUGUGUUUAAUUAACUUUUUAAUAAUGUGAAUGACAAUUAUGGGAUCUAAAUAUUGUUUGCUAAUUAAUUGGGUAUGAUUGCCAAAUGAAUACCUAUUCGAACUUGACAUUAUUACCUAGCAUGAGAUGGAGAUGAAAGUCAGGAUUUGAGUUAGGUACUUUAUUAGAUUUUUAGGAGAAAUAGUAAUUGAGGGAAUUCCUUGUGUUGUGCUCCAUAUGAUUAGAUGCUGGUUGAUAUGCGGAAUCGAUAGCAUGUAUGCGUAUAACUAUGUAUAACUUUUAUGCUUGUAUGAUAAGAUAGUUAGUGGUCACGAGAAGUUGAUAGUGCAAGUGAUUCCGUUGAGUGAUGGUUCAGAAUCAUAUCCUUGUUUGGAUUCCGUUGAGUGGUCCAAAGUCGCAUCACUUUACUUGUUGGUUUCUUAGAUUUGAUAUCAGCUACAGAGAUGUAGGCUUGGCUUAACUAUGUCACUUUAGCCUUAGUCUUAGUAUAUUUGUGAGCAAUGGUUUUGAGAAUCUUGUGGAUUGAAUUAGAAAAGUUGUUGGACGUUUGGGUGACUCUUUCAGGAUUUUCUAUGAUUUCUUAAAUUAUGAAUUUAGAAGAUAUGGUUAUAGUUGUUAUUAUUCUGGUCAAAUUAGUUAAUUAGUGUGGAUAGAGAAUUGUAUUGUGCUUCAUCGGUUCUUUGAUAUGAUAAAUGUUGUGAAUUGCGGUAUCAUGUUGCGACAUAAUGACUUAUAUAGAAGAUGGAAGGGAAAUCAUGAUUUUCAGGUGGAUUUGUUAUGUAACCCUGAGUCUAGUAAUUUCAUGCUUGUCAAGUUCUAUUGAUGGAUUGAGAAAUGUUAUGCCUUUCGGCUUAAACGGACUGUGUUAUAUGUCAAUUAUAGUGCAUGAUGAACUACGAAUGGCUUGAUCCCUGGGUAGGGUACGUAGGCAGUCUAACGAGAAUGUUAGAUGUAGCCAUAAAAUGUACAAAUUUUAAUACGCAAUUCGAGGCAUAGCAUGUGCUUGGUAUAUAUCUCGGAGACGAGUAUGUUAGAUAUAGGGUUAUUUGAUGACGUCACGUGACACACACACACACACACUCUCUCUCUCUCUCUCUCUAAAAUAUGUGUUUUUUGUUGUUUUGGAUCCAAUUUCUUAUGUUUUUGUUUCUGAGUUCUUCUGAAAGUGUGGAUUUUAUUGAUUGGAAUGAAAUUAAUGCUUACCCAUGUCAUCAAUUUGGGGUUUUGAUCUUUGAUUUUGCUAAUUUUGGAGGCUCUUGAAGCCCACAAUCCUGUCGAAGCAAAACAAAAUGUCGGGUUUGCUCCCCAUCAUCUUUGCCGCGGUCAUCUCGAAUGCAUAGACCAAAGAACGCCUCAAGCUCAAGGAAAUCUUCGAGGAUGCUCAUGAACGAGGCUGUAAGCCUGUAAUUGAUUUGGAUGAAAUGUUACCAAAAAAAAAAAAAACGGGUUAACGAGUGAAACGGGUGACCCGUUAGCUUAACGAGUUGAGUUCGGAUGACCCGUUAGCUUAACGGGUUGGGUUCAGAUGACCAGUUAAAUUAACGGGUCGAGUUGAACCGACCCAAAUCCAGUAAACCCGAUCCGUUUACAGGUUUACACACAAAUAAACGUACUCACAAGUAAGAAAACUAUAAUAUAAUAAUACUUUUGAAAGAAAAUACCCACCCACUAUAAGCUGCAGUGUCGUAGCCGUCUUGCCUAGCUUUCCCAUGAAAUUCCUCUGGAUAGCUUUCUCCUUCGAUUCAAGUUAUAUGUUGACGCCGUUAAUGCCGUUAGGAACAUUCCGUCAAGAUGGACGGAUAUUUCGUCUUUUUCUUCCUCGCUGAGUCGAUCGCCAUUCGCCAGUUGGAAUUUCACCAAAAACUAGUCGGAGAUGCUCAAAAAUUGGCUGGAAAGGCUCGGCCCAAUUUGGUUUGGUUGGAAUAAAGCCAUAUUCGAGCAUGCAAGUUCGAAUCUGGGUCCUGGGAGUUGUGAGGAGGCCGUCUAAACCUUGAACAAAUCAAUGAGAUUUGGUUGGAUUGUGCUCAAGAAUAACCUUGGUCGGAGUCGUCGGGAAUCUCACCGGAGCUCUCGGAUGCGAAUAGAGUUCGUUCGGUUCUCGGGUUUGCGUGCGAACUCGAGUGUUUGUUUGGUGUUCCUGUGUUCUGGGCAUAGAGAGGGACAUAGUGAUGGUUAUUUGGUGAUGGUUGUCUCGCCGUAGAAAGCGAGAUGGGUGGUGGGGACGGUCUCGAUGUUGCACAAUGCAAUAGAGAGAGUGUGCAAACAGAGCUCGGGGGAAGAAGGAGAAAGUGAGAGGGGUCUGGUUCGGUUUGUGUGGGUUAAUUACUCAUAAAAUGCUUUGACAAAAAAAAAAAAAAAAAAAAAAACCACAUAAAAUGCGCAUAACGAAAACAUUUUUGAAAUUUCCGGAGGGUGUAAAAUUACGAUUCCAUCUUUCAUCUUAAAAUGCACAUAACUUGUUCAUUACACGUCUAAAUUACAUCAUGUUUGUGCUCACGUGUUCGUAUUGAUGAGUACUAAUUAAAUAGGAUGAUAAAAGGGUAAAUUAUGUAAUUAAAUAGGAUGAUAUACAAUUGCUACAGUUCAAUAAAAAUGUCAAUAUACGCUAGAUUUAUAAGUCAGUAUUCCAGACAACCUUCACAACAACAGGUACAACUUUCGGAAGGGUGAUAGGUAAGAGCAAACCCUCUAUGCGCCAAUUCAGCCAGUGCUAAGCAAACACCAUGCCAUGACCCAUCACACUGAAAAAGUACGAUAUCAGUACAGCUUUUUGAGCAAUAAAAUUGGUACAAUUAUUUACAACUAAUGAAAGGGCGUGAAGAUGCGAUGUUUUAAAGGAUUACGGAAAUCCAUGUAAGCAUGAAAGAUUUUCCAGCAAGGACAAUUUAACCAGUUGAAUCAUAGAAGUAUGGGAAAAGACACCAAACAAAGCAACCAAACUAUAUGCAGAUGGGCUUGGGUUUUCAAGUUCAUAACAAACAGUUUGGUUAAAAGGCAAGAUAAAAAUGUCUGCAGAUAAGCAGAUAAGCAGAUUAUUGAUGAAUGGCAGCUUCUCCAAAGGUUAUUUAAUAUAUCAGAAAGCCAGCAAUGUUCCAACCAAUAAAAUUCUAUAGAAAGAUCAAGUCAGUAGCUCUCUAGUGCAACCUUAUCCAUGCACAUGAAACCCUCGGUUUAGUUUUCUAAGAGACAAACGUUUCGAAGAAUUAGACCCAAAAAGAAAACUUAAGGAUGAAGCUGAAAGAAAGGCUUAUUGGAAUUCAUGUCAAUUAUAAUGGACUGGCAUCUCGAAAGGGAACAGAAGACAUGAUGAUCGUUGCAUUCCUCAAGGACCACCAACUAUUUUGAGCAUUGAACCUCAUGGAUUAAUGACGGUGGUGGAGAGGAUAAACCAGUGAACUAAACUGAACAACUGUUCCUGAGUAUUUACCACAGCAACAUAUUGUUCCUCAUUUCCAAGGUAAUUUAGGAGGAUUUCAUCUAAUGGAUCUGACUUUCUGUAAAUGUGUUUUCUCAUUCCAACAUCGAAUGCCUCAGCCAGAUCAUCCACAUCUUGGAAAUCAGACUUUUAGUCAGUUUUGUUUAUCUCACAAGCAUAACGAAUACUCCUUUAAGUUCGUCUGUAUAAACUCACUUAUGAGGAGAAUCAUUUCAAAGCUGUUAUGCAGAUGGGCUUGGCUUUUCAACUUCCACAAAAUGAGCAUCAACAAAAUCAUAUGAGUUAUGAGUAUUAUAGGGAUGUCAAAUGCAUCUCUUCACCUCCCAACGAUCCGAUGAGAUAAAGAGGCCACUAGAUGUUAUAUUAUGCAUGGUCUAACCCAAACUGAGUUAUAGGUAGGGAUUUGCCCUGUAACUUGAAUUUUCCAUUGAAAAGUUAAAGAAAAUAAAUAAAUAAAUAAACAUAUCAGUUUAGAGAAUCAAAAACAUAAAUGCAAUAUGCAACUUGCAACUUGCAAUCCUCUCAAAAAUCAUCAUACUUGCUCAAGUAUCACAAUUAUUGGUCCUUGACUCUUUAGACAUAAUCUUUCUCAACUAAAUUGCAAACUAUGUUAGGCUUCAGAUCGUAUGAACUACAAAGAAGUGAAAGCAAACCCUGAAAAUAGCAGCCGGCACUUCUGUAGCUCCAAGUAACCGGAAAUGAUUGAUGGCAUCAUCUGUCAGAGAAGAUAGGACUUCGUGUGUCCAUUCAACAAAGCUGAAGAAGAAAAUGUAUAAGAAAAAGGUAAGCAAAUGCAGCAAUAAGAGUGGUCUAGAAUUACAACAUAAUAGCGAGAUGUAGAACCAUGCACAUCAGUAUGUGUGUGUAAUGUACAAGUACUUAAGGUUGAGUGUUCAUAUUAAAUUUAUCACAUUCUAAGUUACUUGACAUCGAGCAUUCAUACUAUCUAAUAUUCAAAGAAUUAGCAGUAGAACCAGUACUAAAUUUUAAGUCUCCAAAAAAAAAAAAAAAUUCAACAAAUUUAUAGUGAUACAGAAAUAAAACCAAAGGAGGAUUAACUCAUAUUCUCUUGGCUAGAAGGUUAUAUUCCAUAAAUAUUAAGGUGUAAUCGCAGUUUGCACUCAGCUGGAAUUUGAAUCAAUUUUUUCAUAUAAGCAUGCAAUGCUAAAGUAGGCGGUUGUUAUGCAACAUUCUAUGACCUAUGUACGUGAUGAAAGAAACCUGGAAAAAGCCUUUGGCAUGUCUGGGCGUGUUAGAAGCUUCAAGAGCAGCAAAGCAGCAAUAGGACUCAUAGGGCCUGAAUUUGAAAGGUAAUCUUUGGAGAACCCUACUAUCCUCAGUACCAGAGGAGCUGGCUCAAGUUUUCCAAGAUUACUGUUGUUUGCAAUGCUCGUAUCAACAGUGGAGUGAUCAAACGGAACCAACACGAGAAUAGACAGCCACAAAAGCAUCACACAUUUAGCUUCCAUCUCUCCCGUACUUUCCUGACGCAGUGAUGACACUGACUUUGUGUGAUGGCACUUCUCCAAGAGAGACACAGCAAGUUCCAAGUCCGAGACUUGAUGCGGAAAGAACCUGACAACCGCCUUGUAUCCACAAACUGUGACCAGAGAAUAAAGAAUGAUGCAUUUAGGUUUAAUUACUUCAAGACUUUCAUCCGAAGCUAUACCUAAUUCACUUGUUUUUGAGCGGACAAUAAACAUGAGCGGGGUAACCAUGCUCUCCAAAAAAAAAAAAAUUGCUUUCCUUAAAAAAUGAUUAAACUCUUUGUGGUAAUUAUAGUUAUGGCCAGAAGAAAUUUUAUCUUCUAUAUAUAUAAAGUGAGCACCCUAAAAUGGUGAAACAUUCAAAAUACCAUAAGUUAUCCUUUAAGAAUUUCAUAAAUUACAAUUGAACCAAAAGAAGCUAAAGUAUUUAACCAUAUUUUUAUUUUGAAUGAAUUUAAUAUUUAAAAUUAUAGAAAAAAAAAAAAAAAAAACAAAACAAAACAAAACCUCCCACAUUAGUGGGUGGUUUCACGUUUUUAAUUCAUUUCUUUUCUUUUUUUUUAUAAUUUUUUUUUUAAAAUAUGUAAAUUAAUUAUUUAAAUAAAAGAUAUAUAAAAAUGUCAAUUGCCACACGCGUAUGCGGGUGACAAGAGGCUAGUUUUAAAUAAAAUUAAAGAGUACCCAAAGACGAAAUUUAGGUGUACGAAAAACCACCCUAUCAAAAAUCAAAAGCUAAUAACAUUUUGACCUUUUGACAACAAAAAAAUGAAUAACUUUCUGACCUAGUAAUCUCUACUAAUUAAUAUAGCAAAACUCUAUGAAAUUACUAGUUUAACUCUCUAAUUAAAACAUAAUAUGAAUAAGAAAUAUGAGACAGAAAUGUAAUUUCACACCACCAAAUUUUGCUGUUUUUUUUUUCAAAGGCUCACCUACAUGUAAUCUUAACAUAUCUCUAAUUUUAAAAUAAAAACAAAUAAAUAAAUUAAACUUCUCUCUCACAUUCUCUACCACUCUCUUCCUCUCUCCUAUUUCAAAAAUAAAAUAAAAAAAUUUCUCGCAUACUUUGUGUAUGCCCAUAUACUAGUACACAACUAUCUCAAUUCAGUUAUCGGCCACGGUUUGUUAAUAAAAAAAAAUGAUGUAAGUUUAUCAUUUUCAAAAGGAAAAUACAAAACCGUUACGGCCCAUAUUCCAACCUAAGUACAUACUUGGCUUAGCCCAUAUUACUCAGUCGUCACGGGCCGUCUAUUUAGACAGUUCGUAACCUUCUCAAGUGAAAUAUCAUCCGUCAGAUCGAAUAAUUAACGGCUGUGAUUUGAGACAUUCCCCACUUAUUCGCUUCUUAUGGGUCAGGCGUAAGCCAUUAAAAGGGUAUCAGGUUCUCUCGAAAGAGUCGUCUCCUUCACACCUCUCACGCUCUCGCUCUCAGUCUCUCUUUUGUCUUUGCGCAUUUCAGCGUAGAGCUCAAAGCGGAGACGCCUCGCACCCGCCACCUCCGAAGGUAUAACCUAAAUUUCCUCCUGCUAUGUUUAGAUCUGAAUUUUGUCAGUAUCGCUUUCAGAUUUUUGAGAUUUUUUUCAUUUACUUUCAAUUUUUUUCCAGAUCUGUAUUUUUUUCUGUAAUUUUGAUGUGCAAAGGUGAUUUUUUUAAUCGAUUGAUUGUUUUUCUGGAUCUGAUUAUUUGCGACUUGUAGUGAGAUCUGAUCUGCUCGAUUUGUUUGCUUUACUGUUUCAUAUAUGUUCAUCGUUGUCAGAUCUGAUUUUCUAGUACAUUUUUAUGGUGGAACUGUAUUGAUUUACUUAUUUGUUGAUUGUAGGUUUGGAUCCUUUAGAUCUGGACGGUUAUGAUUGGUUAACGAAGUUAGUGUUUGUUUUAUUUCGUUUAGGUGAUUCUUUGAUGUCGUUAAUUGGAAGUUUUUUAUUUUUUAAGUGAAUGCUCUUGAUAAAUGUGACGAAUAAUAAAUUGUUGAUUUUGGUAACAAAGAAAUGAUUUUUUUUUUUUUUUUUUUGUAGUCUUAAAAAUUGUGAACUGUUUAGUCGGAUCUAUGAUUACUGAAUGUUAUUUUGUAUGAUAUGGUUUUCAAUUUCUUCGGUGUUUACGAUUUAUUUUAAUGCUUACUGUGAUUCAAUUUUUUAUCAUAGGCUAAGGAGUUGUAUGUUGGGAUUUUAAUUCUCAAACCUAAAGCAAUAACCAUUUAUUAUACGGCAUAGGGAUUGAAUUCUUGCACAUUUCAGUGAGUAAUAAACAGAUUACCAUCCGAUAUGCUGACAGUUCAUGUUUAGUACCACUUAAGUUUUCAUGAAAACCCUACUUUUUUAUUAAAAAAUGUUUUUAACUCCCCUAUUUGAUGAGGUUGUGGUUCUAUUUGAAGCAUUAAUUGUGUGGAUAUUCUUUUGUUCCUUGAUAGUACCAUGAUGUUGACUGCAUCCAUGACAAAAUAGUGCAAAGAUUUGCACUUUUUAUAGAAUAGAUGAUCUGAUAAGUACGUAUGUAGUUUUUAGUAACCAUCUGCUCCUUUUGAGGUCAUUCUGUGUCAGAAAUUUAAUUGUUUUCUGAUUAUUGAUGUCAAUAGACCUGAAGAUUGAGGCUCGUCCUCUAUUAUUAUCUGUCUCUGGAAGUACAAAUGAUUUUAUAACUGGUUUUAUAGUCUACUUGAUGCUAUUAUACAUAAUUGAUGUCAGUUCAGUUUUGGUCAAGUUGUAUCAUUUACAUCAGGAAUGGUUAAUAUUUUUGGUUAUCGUGGUAGAUUCUGUUUCUGAUAUGGUAUAUGCACAUUCUUGUAGGGCAACAAUGGUUGAUCAGGUUCAACAUCCUUCUGUCGUCCAGAAGGUAGCUGGCCAGCUCCUUCAGCAAUCUAUCCAGGGUUACGAUAAUGGCUUCCAAAGACCAGGAAUGUACCAAAGACGUGCUUAUGGGAACUACACAAAUGCUGCACUGCAGUAUCCCUUCAUGCCAGCAUGCAGAGCUACCACUGAUAUGUCUUUGGUUCCAUCAACUGCAUCUCCUAUCUUUGUUCAAGCCCCUGCGGAGAAAGGCCACUUUCUUAUUGAUUUUCUCAUGGGCGGAGUCUCUGCUGCUGUAUCUAAAACUGCUGCUGCCCCAAUUGAGCGUGUCAAGCUGUUGAUUCAGAACCAGGAUGAGAUGAUCAAAACUGGUCGUUUGUCUCAACCCUACAAGGGCAUUGGAGAGUGCUUUAGCCGUACAAUCAAGGAAGAGGGUUUUGGUUCAUUGUGGAGAGGGAACACUGCCAAUGUUAUCCGUUACUUCCCCACUCAGGUUUGUGAUGUUAUUUUUUAAUUAAAUGUUCCAUUGGCAAAGAAAAGUUUUGAUGCGUACUUGUACUAAAAUUGUUACCUGGAUUUGUUGUAGGCCUUGAACUUUGCAUUCAAGGAUUACUUCAAGAGGCUGUUCAACUUCAAGAAAGACAGGGACGGUUAUUGGAAAUGGUUUGCUGGUAACUUGGCUUCAGGAGGUGCCGCUGGUGCUUCUUCUCUUUUCUUUGUCUACUCUUUGGAUUAUGCUCGUACUCGUUUGGCUAAUGAUGCUAAAGCUGCAAAGAAAGGAGGAGAAAGACAAUUCAAUGGUCUGGUUGAUGUCUACAGGAAGACAUUGAAAUCUGAUGGAAUUGCCGGUCUUUACCGUGGAUUCAACAUCUCUUGUGUUGGAAUUAUUGUCUACCGUGGUCUCUAUUUUGGACUGUACGACUCACUGAAGCCUGUUGUCCUGACUGGAGGCUUGCAGGUUAGUGGAUUACUUUUAUUUAUUCACUUACCUUUUUGUUCAUGGUUAUAUAUUCUUAUGAUGGUGUUGGCUUUGUUUACGCUAGUUGCUAGCCCAAUUUUGGUUUUUUAUUACGUUCUGUGUAAUUGUUGAAUGGUUAUAUAUUCUUAUGAUGGUGUUGGCUUUGUUUACGCUAGUUGCUAGCUCAAUUUUGGUUUUUUAUUACGUUCUGUGUAAUUGUUGAAUAUCUUGUAUGUGUGCAUAUUGUUAUGGCAUAAUAUUUCUUAUAUUAGUCAUUCAUUUCCCUUUGAGAAAGGACUAUUAAUUUUGCAAAAGGUUUAAUGAUGCGUCCUCUCUUUUGUUUAUUAUUUUUGGCUUUGCUCUAUUCUAAUGCUUUCUUUGCGAAGCAUUACAAAGAAUUGUAUGAAGUGUCUAUUUAUGUUGGUUUUUAAAGAAUGCUAUGCCACAAUGUUUGAAUCCGUUGCCCACAAUCAUUAUCUGCUUUCAGUUGUGUGACGUGUUGCUUUAUUGUUUUGAAAACUACAGGAUAGUUUCUUCGCUAGCUUUGCCCUCGGUUGGCUCAUCACCAAUGGUGCUGGUCUUGCAUCCUACCCAAUUGACACUGUCCGCAGAAGAAUGAU
This 24635-nucleotide long non-coding RNA is filed under the name Malus domestica (apple). RNAcentral's name for it is "long non-coding RNA (MDOM_LNC006403)". Lineage: Eukaryota; Viridiplantae; Streptophyta; Magnoliopsida; Rosales; Rosaceae. The record is from RNAcentral.